This 148-nucleotide signal recognition particle RNA is filed under the name Chlorocebus sabaeus (green monkey). RNAcentral describes it as "Metazoan signal recognition particle RNA". It matches the Rfam family "Metazoan signal recognition particle RNA". Rfam says of the family: The signal recognition particle (SRP) is a universally conserved ribonucleoprotein. It is involved in the co-translational targeting of proteins to membranes. Lineage: Eukaryota; Metazoa; Chordata; Mammalia; Primates; Cercopithecidae. The record is from Rfam by way of RNAcentral.
GCUGGGCAUGGUGAAGUGUGUCUGUAGUCCCAGCUACUCAGGAGGCUGAGGCAGGAGGAUCGCUUGAGCCCAGGAAGUUGAGGCUGCAGUGAGCUAUGAUUGGGCCACUGCACUCUAGCCUGGGCAACAGAGUGAGGCCCUGUCUCAA